CUUUGUAUGAGCUCUGUUUCUCUGUUAGAUUCAAUCUCGUGUAGCCCAGGGUGGCCUUGAACUAACAGAGAUCCCUCUGCUUCUGUCUCCCUAGUACUGGGAUUAAAGGCGUGUGAUCCCAAAUGCUGAGAUGAUACUUUGUGUGAACUGUUUCUCUUUUAGACUGGAUGAAUUUCGUGCAGCCCAGGGUGUCCUUCAACUCACAGAGAUCUGUCUGUCUCUGUCUCCCAAGUGCUGAGAUGAAAGGUGUGUGCCACCACUAGUGUGACUAGCUCUGCAUUCUGCAUCUUCAAGCAAACUUUGUUAGAUUAUAAACAAAAUAUCACCACAGGCAGUCAACCCAACAGUGUCCACAGUUUGUUCUGGCUCUGACAGCAGCGAGUGGGCAAAUGGUUGGAGAGAGCAGAGGCGUGAGCAGCUGCUCGGCGAUGCCAAACCACGUGGUGUGUAUGGAAGAGUGCGGAGGUCGCGGCUCGGGGCCAACCGGAAGGGGACGCUGGCGUCCUGCUCCCCGCCCCAACUCUGGCGGAGCUACAGAGAUGCGCUUUCCGGAACCUUGCGGACUGCUUUGGGGAGGAUUCUCAAAUGCUCUCUGGGGUUGCAGGGCGAGCGAACCUGGAGUCUGGUGCCCCCUAGUGGACUAGAGAUAUCUGAACGUGAAGCACCCCGAUGAUCUGAGGGGGCUGCGUGGCUCAAAACCAGAACAACUUUCCCACUGAUCCCCAGCCCGCCGCCUUCAGAAUGCGGAAAGGGACCUCGGGCAUCACUGGAGUUCAGUGUGGAGGAGCACAGGGCCAUCCUGCGGGUGGCCACAGAGGAGGAGAAACCCAGUUUAAAGCUGAACACAGGCCGAUGCAGGCAAGGUUGCUUACAUAUGUAAUCCCAUGAGGCACACGGGAGCCAGAGACGGCAGGAUCACAAGUUCUAGGCCAGCCUGAGAUCACAGCGUCAGAUCUGACAAAGGACCUUUCCCCUCGGGAAGAUCUAUGUUUCCCUUCCCUGGCCACCAUCCUACUAGACUAGAGGAAUUUGUAACCGGAUCAUCAGUUUUACCAAAUAAGAGAGCACAGAGAGUUUUAAGAGCCAUCCAAAGCACCUGGAGUUACGAGUUUGAAAGCAGGCAUUGGAAAACAUAAAAUGGGACUACAUAUACAGUCUGCCAGUAAACGAAGACCCAUCAACUCGUCAGGGGCAUAUAUCCAGACACAGGGCACAGACUUGGGAAGCAGACAAGAGAACUACAUCAUUAGUGCAUGACUUAAUAGCUUUAUGGCCUUGGAAAGUCCUAUGCCAGUCACAGUUUCUUCCUUUGUAAGUAAGGUUAAGAUCUAAUGUGUUGUGCAAACCUGUACUCUCAGCACUUUGCACGUGGAGACAGGGGAACCUAGAGUUCAAAGUCAUCCUCAGCUACAAGUUUGAGUUUGAGAGUCCCAUCUGGGAUACACGAGACAAGCAAUUCUGUCUCAAGAAUGAAAAAGAGAGGGCACUAUGGGGAGAGACCCUAGUAGGUGUUUCUAAUGGUUAGUAAA
Molecule: long non-coding RNA, 1529 nt
Filed under: Cricetulus griseus (Chinese hamster)
Lineage: Eukaryota; Metazoa; Chordata; Mammalia; Rodentia; Cricetidae
Description: lncRNA (ENSCGRG00015035082.1)
Source: RNAcentral